This 164-nucleotide ribosomal RNA is filed under the name Hedysarum xizangense. RNAcentral describes it as "5.8S ribosomal RNA". It matches the Rfam family "5.8S ribosomal RNA". From Rfam's summary of the family: 5.8S ribosomal RNA (5.8S rRNA) is a component of the large subunit of the eukaryotic ribosome. It is transcribed by RNA polymerase I as part of the 45S precursor that also contains 18S and 28S rRNA. Functionally, it is thought that 5.8S rRNA may be involved in ribosome translocation. The record is from RNAcentral. Lineage: Eukaryota; Viridiplantae; Streptophyta; Magnoliopsida; Fabales; Fabaceae.
AAAACGACUCUCGGCAACGGAUAUCUAGGCUCUUGCAUCGAUGAAGAACGUAGCGAAAUGCGAUACUUGGUGUGAAUUGCAGAAUCCCGUGAACCAUCGAGUCUUUGAACGCAAGUUGCGCCCGAGGCCUUUAGGUUGAGGGCACGUCUGCCUGGGCGUCACAU